AUUGAACGCUGGCGGCAUGCCUUACACAUGCAAGUCGAACGGUAACGGGCCUUCGGGUGCCGACGAGUGGCGAACGGGUGAGUAAUACAUCGGAGCGUGCCCGAUCGUGGGGGAUAACGAGGCGAAAGCUUUGCUAAUACCGCAUACGAUCUACGGAUGAAAGCAGGGGACCGCAAGGCCUUGCGCGGACGGAGCGGCCGAUGGCAGAUUAGGUAGUUGGUGGGAUAAAAGCUUACCAAGCCGACGAUCUGUAGCUGGUCUGAGAGGAUGAUCAGCCACACUGGGACUGAGACACGGCCCAGACUCCUACGGGAGGCAGCAGUGGGGAAUUUUGGACAAUGGGCGCAAGCCUGAUCCAGCCAUGCCGCGUGCAGGAUGAAGGCCUUCGGGUUGUAAACUGCUUUUGUACGGAACGAAAAGCCUUCUUUUAAUACAGGAGGGUCAUGACGGUACCGUAAGAAUAAGCACCGGCUAACUACGUG
RNAcentral lists this ribosomal RNA (482 nucleotides) under uncultured bacterium. RNAcentral describes it as "partial 16S ribosomal RNA". It matches the Rfam family "Bacterial small subunit ribosomal RNA", at positions 30 to 507 of the family's 1533-position model. The record is from RNAcentral.